UGAAGUGAUGAGUCUCAAACAGGAGAUUAGAGGGCUCAAGCAUGAGAAUAAACAGUUGCACCGGCUCGCACAUGACUAUGCUACAAACAUGAAGAGGAAGCUUGACCAGAUGAAGGAAACUGAUGGUCAGGUUUUACUUGAUCAUCAAAGAUUUGUGGGUUUGUUCCAAAGGCAUUUAUUGCCUUCGUCUUCUGGGGCUGUACCGCGUAAUGAAGCUCCAAAUGAUCAACCUUUGAUGCCUCCUCCUUCUAGGGUUCUGUCCAGUACUGAGGCUCCAAAUGAUCCCCCUCCGGUGCCUUCUCUUUCUGGGGCUCUACCGACUGCUGAGACUUCUCCUAAGCAACCUUUGUGAAGGCUCCCUCUUGUGUGUUUUAUUUGACUCAUGUAUAUGCACAUAUUUGUAGCUUAUCGGGGAUAUCAAUAAAUAAGCUUUCCUUCAUUUCAACGUAUUGUGUUAAAUACACCAAAGCCUUCUUCGCUAAGUUCUUUGAAUUUUCUUUUGUUGAAGCUUGUAUGUUGAAGCUUUCUGAGUGGAGCAUGAAGGUUGGGGUAGUGUUCCCUUAAUUUUCCGAGUGAGGAAAACUUCUCGGUUGGAGACUUGGAAAAUCCAAGUCACUGAGUGGGAUCGGCUAUAUGAAUCUUAGAACGCCAUUGUGCUCAAUCCUGUGUCAUGUCCUUCGUUAGAUCCAAGUACUCUAAGUCUUUUCUUAGAGUCUCUUCCAAAGUUUUCCUAGGUCUUCCUCUACCCCUUCGGCCCUGAACCUCUGUCCCAUAGUCGCAUCUUCUAAUCGGAGCGUCAGUAGGCCUUCUUUGCACAUGUCCAAACCACCGUAACCGAUUUUCUCUCAUCUUUCCUUCAAUUUCGGCUACUCCUACUUUACCCCGGAUAUCCUCAUUCCUAAUCUUAUCCUUUCUCGUGUGCCCACACAUCCAACGAAGCAUCCUCAUCUCCGCUACACCCAUUUUGUGUACGUGUUGAUGUUUCACCGCCCAACAUUCUGUGCCAUACAGCAUCGCCGGCCUUAUUGCCGUCCUAUAAAAUUUUCCCUUGAGCUUCAGUGGCAUACGGCGGUCACAUAACACGCCGGAUGCACUCUUCCAUUUCAUCCAUCCAGCUUGUAUUCUAUGGUUGAGAUCUCCAUCUAAUUCUCCGUUCUUUUGCAAGAUAGAUCCUAGGUAACGAAAACGGUCGCUCUUUGGUAUUUCUUGAUCUCCGAUCCUCACCCCUAACUCGUUUUGGCCUCCAUUUGCACUGAACUUGCACUCCAUAUAUUCUGUCUUUGAUCGGCUUAGGCGAAGACCUUUAGAUUCCAACACUUCUCUCCAAAGGUUAAGCUUUGCAUUUACCCCUUCCUGAGUUUCAUCUAUCAACACUAUAUCGUCUGCGAAAAGCAUACACCAAGGAAUAUCAUCUUGAAUAUGUCCUGUUAACUCAUCCAUUACCAACGCAAAAAGGUAAGGACUUAAGGAUGAGCCUUGAUGUAAUCCUACAGUUAUGGGAAAGCUUUCGGUUUGUCCUUCAUGAGUUCUUACGGCAGUCUUUGCUCCUUCAUACAUAUCCUUUAUAGCUUGGAUAUGUGCUACUCGUACUCCUUUCUUCUCUAAAAUCCUCCAAAGAAUGUCUCUUGGGACCCUAUCAUACGCUUUUUCCAAAUCUAUAAAGACCAUGUGUAAAUCCUUUUUCCCAUCUCUAUAUCUUUCCAUCAAUCUUCGUAAGAGAUAGAUUGCCUCCAUGGUUGAGCGCCCUGGCAUGAACCCGAAUUGGUUGUCCGAAACCCGUGUCUCUUGCCUCAAUCUAUGCUCAAUGACUCUCUCCCAGAGCUUCAUUGUAUGACUCAUUAGCAAUUCUCAUCUUCCCAAAGGAAUAAACCAAGAGCAUGAAUUCAGAAAAAUAUAUAAACAAGGCGAAAACGGGGAGUCUUCUGGGAAAUGCUCUAAACUCAUGGUAAGACUGUUCACCUUCUAUGGUUUGGUGUGAAAAGAAAUUUGAGGGGGGGGGUUGGAUUGUUAAUAGCAUUUGGUAUUUAUAUCACCCACUCUCAAAUCCCUUAAAAUCCUUCAUUCACAAAAAUCCUAGCAAAUCUUUAACAUUUCCACUACACCUAGAUUUGUAUGGACUUUUUAAACUUUUAAUUGACUACCCAUGAAUUUGGAUGUAUUCUUUAAAUCCUCCUAUAUCCUAAUUUGACUACACCAUGAUUUUAAAAUAUUUUAAAAUCCACAUUCAAACUUCUAAUUAACUACUCUGAUUUUAAAGUCCGUUAAAAUACUAUCAAAUUCUAGUUUGACUACACCUCUUACUUUUCCGGCAACUUCUUGCAGUGAAGAAGGGGCGAAAAGAAAUUCCUGGAAAUUAGCUUACCUUACUUCUCCCUUACUCUUUCUCCCUGAACCCAUACCAAACAGAAAUCGCCGAAAAUCCUCUCCCCUACCCUCUGUCACUUGGCGAAUUACAGAAAUGCAGCUGUUGGAUGUGGAAUCAAGCAGGGAAAAUGGUAAUUUCACUACCCCACUCUCACUCCAGAGUCAAAGAUCCGCACCAAAUCUCUCUCACUCUCUCUGUCUCUCUCUGCAAGCGACAUUGCUGUCCCCCUCUGUCGGCUCUAGAAUUCCCUACCCAUCAAUCCAAAUUCGUCCCAAAAUUAAGAUGACAAAAGUGCCCUGCAGCCCUUCAAUCUCAUCCGCGUGAUCCUAACCCUAGAUAGAUAUUUCCGUCAUUUAAGCACCCUAAGGCAUACAAGUAUGUUCAUUCUUGUUACAAGAAAGCAGCAUACUUGAGAGCCUACACUCCUUAUAUCCAAUCCAUGCCUAGUCAAGAAUUUUGGUCACCUACAAAUCACCAACCCGUUGCACCUCCAAAGUAUCAUAAGCAAGCUGGUAGGCCAAAGAAGCUGAGGGCAAGAGAGAAAGAUGAGCCACAACCACCAUCAACCUUAAACAAAUUGCCUAAAUGCUUCAGUAAGGUCACUUGUGGAAUGUGUGGCAAGAAAUGUCAUAAUUGUACAACAUUCGGGAAGAAGCAACGACAAGCUUCACAGGUAAAAGUAGCUUAAUGCUUUCACUUAUCUGCAUUUUUUUUUUUUUUGAAAACUCACUUAUCUGCAUUUUUAGUCACAUAUGGUUGUUAUAAAUUGGGGAAUAUCAUCUCAUAGGCCUAUGUAGAAGCUGGGAGAGGACAAACUUGUGGGACAAAUGAAAUUGGCCAUAACUCACCAACUACUAAAAGUGGGCAAACACAAGCAAUGGUGUGCUCACUGAAAACUUUCGUAUUUUAAAUUUUAGUCUUGUAUUUAUAGACGGAUGUAUGUGUAACUUUUUUAUUGAUCAUUUUGUAGCAUGCCACUGGAGGAAAUAUGGGAAGUGAAACUCCACCAAAUCAGGGACAAGAACAAUCUGCAUCUAAUGCAAGUUCUUUUGACCUAUGUCUUUGUCCCUUUCUCGUGUGUGCUUUUAUAACCCAAUGCCAUCUGUUAAUUUUUCAGGUUUUUUAUUAUUUAUUAUUUUUAUUAUUUGUAGGUUUCUAAAAGGCGUAGUGUGAAAUGAAAUGCAAAAGGCAAGUCAGUGCACAAUUCAAGAAAGCCACCUGAAAACUGUAGAAUCUGAAGGAAAUCAUUUGGAAAUUUAGACUUUUUGUUAAUGUCAAUUUUUUUUUUUUUUUGAUGAAGACAAUGUUGUGAACUUUAAGCCCUGUUUUUUAUUUUGAACAUAAUUAAGCAAUGAAAUAAUAUUUUUGAUAUGGUAGCAAUCAAAUGAUCAGGCAUUGCAUUCUGUUAUGGUUGCUCAAAAUAUGUUUAAGAUACAAUAGUGGGUGUGUUCAGUUUAGCAUGUCACAAAAUCAAAUUUUAUAUGGGCUCUGUAAUAUAAGAAACGGGUUGAGAUUGGUGCCAUAAAUGGAGUUGUAGAUGCAUAUGCGCUACUCGAACACAACUAUCCACAUGAAUACUCUCUAACAAAAUUUUAAGAGUUUUACUAAAGAAAAGUAAAAACUUGUUAAAAGAUCUUAAAAUGACAUAAAUAACCCCGAACAAAGCCAUGUGUGAGGCACAUGACUUAUUUUGGAUGGAAAACUUAACGGAGUAAGAGUGAGAUGACAAAUUGAUGAUUUCGACAAGUUGGUAUGAUAAAUUGCUUAAAAUUUUAGUUUAUAUGACACAUUGAAAAAGAUGUACAAGUUCAUAUUAUAUUUCAAAAAAAUUCCUUGGAAAAAUUAUGGUCCCUACGUCCAACCAAAUAAUAAGGUUUUUGAUGAGAUAAUGCAUGCCAACUUGAGCAUUAUAAUGUUCAUGAUUUUGUUUGAGUCUAUACAUAUAUUUACUCCGUAAACGUAGAUUAGGUCGGUUGGUAAGCCAUUGUAUCUGUCACGUUUUUAUAUUUAAGUUUAAAUUAUUCUCUCGUAACUCGUAAGUUAUAGCUUCUAAUACCGUCUUAACAAAACUAAAUAUACUUAUUUUUAGUGGGAUAUAUUUUGCUUAAGUAUGCAUGUUUGCAAGAUUAAAUGAAAACCUCCAAAACGUAUGGGGUUAAAUUGAAUUCUAACCACCACCACCACCCCCAUAUAAUUAGGGCAAAAGGCGAAUUUAGGAGGGCUCCUGUUACAGCCCAUCCAUAAUUUUUUUUUGUUAAAUGUGUAACGAUCAAAAUGCCCUUAGAGGGUAUGUGUCGACUUUCAUUAACUUACUGGACAGGUCACGUGUGACAUAUUAAUUAGUAUAUUCUGACAGCAUUCGUUAUUAUGAAUGACUGAUCAUAAGCAUAGCGAAAAUUAGAACUAGAAGCAAGAUUUUAUGAAAUAGUAUAAAUCAUUUUAUUUAAAGUAAUGGAAAAGAUAAUAACACUAGAUAUAAAAUAUGAAUGAUAGAAUAAAAUAAUUUUUAAAAAAAAAAGAUGAAAAGAUGAGAGGUGGAGAAGGAUCGGGAAGAAACGAAAAGAAGGGAAAAGUGGAGAAGGGGGAAAGAAACUUUUCUUCUUCUUCCUUCUCCUUCACUCACGGUAUCCCUUUCAAACUAUUUUCAUCAUAAUUUCCUCAUACGAUAACGAAAUCACAUGAGGUGGGAAGCUAUAGUUUCGUAGCAAGGCCGUCUUCAAUCUUACCAUACCCACCCUUUCAAAACCAUUGUAUAAAGAAAACGAGGUCCAAAUAUAUUGACGUGUUAUGGCGACUUUUCUCUGAUUUCGGGCAAUCCCACUGGAAUCUAGCUCGACCCAAGUGAAAAUAAUGAUUUUCCCCUCGUGGGCUCUCCUCUAGCGUAAGCAUUUUUCCAAGGUUUUAACUUUUAGUUUUGGGGUCAAUUCAUGGUUUCGAAUUUUAAUUCGAUAUUUUGUAUGCAUAUUUGAGAUGAUGCUUGUUGUAUUGUUUAGGAGUUGAAUCGGAACCGGGUAGUCAUGUUUGGUUGCAUAUAUAAGGAAGAACAUUGAAAUCCUAACCUCAAUUCGAUUCUCUUUAGAAAUUUAAGGGUUGGGUUUGUGUUAUAAGCAUUAAUGUUAUUCCAUAAUCGAGGCCAGAUACGUUGGAAUAUUUUGUGUGCCAUAUUUGUCCUACCCUUUAUGCACUGAAAAGAACAUUGCUGAAAUUGUAUGUGUUGCAGCCUAGGUUUGUCACGCCCCGAUCCCGACAUACGUUCAUGAUGGACACGUGACGUCAUCAAAUAACCAUAUAUCUAACAUACCCGUCUUUGGGAUAUGUACCAAGCACAUCCCAUACCUCGAAUUGCGUAGUCAUUUUUUUUUUGUACACUUUAUGGCUGCAUCUAACCUCCCGUUAGACUGCCUACGUACCCUCAAUAGGGAUCAAGCCAUUCGUAGUUCGUCAUUCACUAAUUUAGACAUUUAUUCUAGUACGUUCUAACAGGAAUACGUAGCAUUCUGUAAUUAAUUAUUAGAACUUGACAUGCAUGACAUUACCAAGUUCAAGGCUACAAAACAAACCAACAUGCCAUUGUCAUUCCACAAUCUUGUCAAUCGAUCAAUUCAUAAAUCAAAGAUACAUGAUCUUAGCAUUUAAUUAUGUUAAUCAAUGAAUGCAAUAACAUGUCAUUUCACAAAAUUAACCAAGGAACUCUAUAUAAUUUCCUACUUGGAUUAUGAGCAAUAACAUGGUAAAUCUAUUUUAUAUUCGCAAGGUCUAUUGUGGAUAACUCUCAUUCAUUCGAAUCUAGGCUUCUAGACUAACCUUAUGGGAAUGAGCAAGAGCAAGGAUUCCGGACCACUCAACAGAAUCCAACAACACUGAGUUUCGGACCACUCAACGAAACCAAAAUAUCAAGUGGUUUCUUAUAAUCUAUCCAGGCCUGUCAUAUGUAAAAUCAGUGCCAACAUCAUGGAAAUGGUGCACCGACCAAACAGAACUCGGAUAAGCUGCGAAGCUCGGGUGAGUGACAAUAAUACAAGUAUGUGAUAAUCAAUAAAAACAAAGACCAUUGAUCAGAGUUUAUAAACCUCAAUAUAAGUUCGUAAAUAUAAAAACAUAGUCAAGUCUCUAACAACUCUGAAUGAGUCAUCCAGACAUCCAACGGCUUUUCCCAUUCAAACCACCAAGAUUCUCAAAAACCAUCAUUCAUAUGUACAUUAAAAACUAGGGCUAGAGGGAUGUAGUUCAGCCGAAGCCUACAUAAGUAACCAAACACGAAGUGGCCACCCAAAGCGGAUUAACCAAGCAGAGCCACCCCUGAGAAAGUAACCAAGUAGGCAAUGACCCUCCAAUGCGGAUUAACCAAGCAGAGUCACUCAUAUAGUUGUUAGGAAGUGAUCACCCAAUGCAGAUUAACCAAGCAUGAUCACUCAUAAGCAUACAUGGCCAUAAGGAUCGCCCAACGCAGAUUAACCGAGCGCGAUCCACAUAUAGUAUGGUCCCCCAAUGCGGAUUAACCAAGAAGGACCACUAGUGACCCCCCCAAUGCGGAUUAACCAAGCAGGGUCAAGAUAAUUAGGUAGGUAGUGACCCCGAACGCGGAUUAACCAAGCAAAGUCACACCUACAGAACUGUUAGGCAGUGAUCACCUAACGCGGAUUAACCAAACAUGAUCACCCCUAAGUAUAAAUGGCCAUAAGGAUCACCCAACGCGGAUUAACCAAGCGUGAUCCAUAUAUAGUAUGGUGCCCCAUGCGGAUUAACCAAGCAGGACCAUCGAUAUACCAUUGCUCCAUGGUGCAGGAAAUUUAACACAUAAUCUACCCACAACUCAACCCCUAUGGGUUACAACGUAGUCACUACACCAUCAACUUCUCAUGGCCACCAACUAAUACAUCACACAAUCAUAUAAAUUCUACAUAAUACUUCUAAUAGGAUUCUAAGAUCACAUAGUCAUAGCAUUUAUCAUUCUUAUCAUUCACAUUGCUAAAAAGAGAUAAUUAAACACACGUAUAUUACAAUCAUCAAUACACAAGCCAAAUCACGUAUAGCUAAAUAUAUAUAUAUAUAUAUAAAAAAUCACAUUUCAAAAGAAAUUACAUUUAUAAAACCAAGUCAUAUUCACAAAUGAUAUUAAUAUAAGAAAUUAAGGUAAUAACCAUAUCACAUAUAUUCAAAUCACUCUCUAACCAAUGGUUCACUAGACUUCACUUAGUCUCCCGUAGUACCAAUUUUAGUAUCCAAAACGUUUCGGGACAUGUUGACCAAAAGUCAACUCUCGAUCAACGGUAGGGUUCGCAACUCCACGUAAUUCAAUCCGAAAGAUCUGCCGAUCCGAUUUUGGAUCCGUAAGUUCUUAGGUCCUUAUUAUUCUCAUAGAAUAACAUACUAAAUUCUCAUUGAGAUCCGACGGCCGGAUCUCCGCCAAUUUCUAGAAUUAGGUGGCGGUCAACAAUAAGUUUUACAAACUUAGAAAUUCAAUUCGGGAAAAUCCGUACUUCGGAUUCCCGAUCCGUCAAUUUCUAAUGUCCUAAAAUAUUAUGUGUUAUAAUGCACUAAAGUUUGGAGACGAUCCAACAGUUGGAUCAUCAAUUCGUAUAAUGAUCAAGUGAUGUAUCAUAAUGAAACUAGGUUCAAUUAAUCAAAUCACAUUAUUCGGAUAUCAAAUAUGAAAUUAGGGCAUCUAAUUGGACUUAGAAAGACAUCAUCGGUCCACCGCCGCACGCGCCGCCGCACACGGCGGCCUGUCGUCCCAACUUGCAGGAAAAUUCAACUAACUCCAAAAAUUAUCAAAUUUUACAGGCAAGUAGAUUUCAAUAAGAGGAACAACUUUCAUACCUGGUCCAAAGUCCAAUUCAGCCGGGAAGUGGCCUGAAAACUCCUCCAUCAGCCAGAACCCUAGAAAUUAGGUGCGGUUCAAUUCAAUGUCAAACUCAACUCCACCGCCUCCAAUGUUGAUUGGGCUUUGUUCCUGGACUCUAAAGACACUUGAGGGUGGUGAUGGUUGACGGAAAUCCCUUCGAAAAUAGGCGGAUCGCCGUCAUGGCUUCGGAACACCCACUGUCAGUUCUUCACCAAAUUACCCUAAAUUACUUCGAAUAGGGAGUGGUGAGAUAAAGCUUGGGCAUGUGAAUUCGGUCCAAUUUGAUGGAAAUCCAAUGGAAAACCAUCAGAAAAUAUGGUGGAACAAGUCGGGUGCGCGGGUCAAGGGGAAACUCGAUUUCCCCCUCAUUCUCUCCUUCCCUCAUUUCCCCUUCUUUCUUCCUCCCUCAUUCGCUACCUCCUUUCUCUAUCCUCCUCCCCUUGGCCGAAACUCUCCCCUUUUCCUCUUGAAACUCCCUUCUUCUUUCUUUUCUUCCCUUUUUUUUAAUUGGCUGCUGCCUAACCUUUUUUUUUUGUUUAAAUCUGAUUGGUCAUUUCCCUCUUCUAACCAAUUGGUCCUUUAACCCAAAUAUCGGUAUGGGCCUCUUACUCACAAAGUGGGAGAUAAUUAAUUCCUAAAAUCUAUAGUAUCACAACUUUAAACGUCGGUAAUUAUACUGUUAUAAUCCGAACUCGCAAACGGCUUUCGCUUGUGCGUUCAUGGGAUCGAGCUCUAUUCAGAAAUAUAAAUUGUGACCUCGAAAGAUCUACGGAUUUUAAAUAAUUAAUUUCCAAACUUCAAACUUCGUAACUGGUUUAAUUAAAAUCUAAAUUCAAAUAAAUUACUAUAAAUUCCCAAAAACAACAUAAAAUUUCAAUAAUAAUAAUGCGUGGAUUAUAACAGUGAAAUCCGGGAACGAGAUUUCACAAGGUUUGUGCAGUUAAUUAGAGUUCUAAAACUACUGAAUGGUUCUUUAUUCUUCCCAUGGCAUAUUUAUUCUUCCCAUGGCAUUGCCAGAUGUUGAAUAUUUGAUUGGACAAUGUUAUUAUUAGAGUAUUAUAUGACUUUUGUUUUGGCUGUGGAUUUAUUGGUGGUUCUUUAUUUCAUUCUUUCAGCGGAUGAAGAGCUUAAGACUGCUAGGAAUUUACAUUUUUAUUUUGAGGCACUUGAAUAAACAAUUUGGUUUUUCUAUAAUAAUAAUUAAGGAUCAUUGAUGGUUGGGCUAGUGUACUAGUUACGAAUAAUUAUAUGAAUGUUAUAGUUUAUGGAUUGCAUGUUAUUCUAUGGCCUGAGAACUAGUUCCUUGGUUAAGAUUAAUGGAUUAUCAAACAUUAUACAUAUUCUCUAAUUGAAUACAUUACUAUGUUUAUGAGUUCAAGAUCAAUUUAUUAUGGCUGGUAUAGAUAUCAAUAGUUGACAUAUCCAAUUUGGUGUGGUUACUUUUCGUUUAAGUAUUUCACGCUUAUACGUAUCAUGUUGUUUGCUUAAAUGAUACAAUGGAUGUCCUAUUAGGUGUAAAUGUCUACAUGCAUGCCUAUUCUGAAACCAAAAUCAAGUUGAUGGUUCAUGUUUUGAAGUUAUAUAUAUGUGUGAGUGUGUGUGUGUGUGUGUGUGUGUCUCAUAUGCCUAGACAAGCUAUACAAAGAAAGUAUACCGUUUCUAUUAGUUAUUCUGAUUACAUGUACGUAGUAAUGACUUGCAGUGGUGAUAUGAGUUUAUUGAAAUGAUAAACCACAAAUGACUUGAUCCCUUUAGGGUAUGUAGGCAGUCUAACGAGGAGGUUAGAUGCAGCCAUAAAGUAUACUAAAAUUACUACGCAAUUCAAAUCUUGAGUUAUGCUUUGUACAUAUCCCGGAGGCGGGGUAUGUUAGAUAUACAGAUACUUGGUGACGUCACGUGUCGAUCCUGGACAUAUGUCGGGAUCGGGGCGUGACGGCUCAUUUCAAUCAUUUUGUACCCCUACAUAUUAUUGUGAUUCAAUGAAGCUCCCCAUUAAAUGAAUUGCACCAAAUAGGGGAGGCCUUCGCGGGAUCUCUGUGUCCGAAGCCGACAAACACAGAGAUCCAAACCACUCAUUUUAAAUUAUAUGGUUCUUAUUAGCUCAUUCUAAUGGCCUUCCUCACACAAACCACUGAGUUUAGAUCUCCCUCUCUUUAACUACCUUGGAUAUGGGGUCACUCUUUAACCACCACCACCCACCCACAACAAAAGUACAACUAUAAGCAAAGUUGUAUGAGGGGUCGCUCUAAAAUUGAUCUUAAAAUUAAAUAGUCCGUCGUUCCAAAAAUUGUUUUGGCAAUAUUGCAUUUAAAAUUAUCUGACAAUAUAACAUUAUUCCGAAAAAAAUUUGUAUAAAUUAUAAGUUCAAACAAAAGACACUAUAUAGCUUAUUCUUGACUAUUUUAGGUGUAUAUAUACUCCAUUGCUGAAAAUUCUACUAUGCUCAUCAUAAUUCUUGCCAAUUGACCAGGCAAUUGGGUUAAAUUACCUUUGACCAAAAAUAUGAUGGUCCGUCGAUGCCAAAUUGGGCAGGCAAUUGUUGGGCUCCAAGAAGCUCGUUGAACUACCCUUGCAGCCCGUUGGCAAUAAGUAACGACGGGCCUGACGUCAAGUAGCUGGAGGCUGACCUUAACCCCGUGCACCAAUGUUGAACCAAACAGCUCUAAUUUGGGCGCCCCACAACUAUUGGAUUUUCAACAAUUUGUUGAUCCGGACUAUUAAAUUUCAAAAGAUACAAGUAAUUUAAAAGAUGAUGUUGUGCCACGUGGCACUUUGUGGCGCAUUUGAUAUUAAAAUUUUGAAAAAUUCAACGGUCAGGAUUAAUCCCACGGUAAAAAAUACAAAAAAAAAAUUAGAAAAAAUUUACAACAAAAAAUAUCUAAAAAAACUUUCAAAUUUCACACUUAAACAAAAAUCUGAGCUGAUAUUACUAAUAGAUAAAGACACGUGGUGCGAUGAAAGUGGUUGAAAAUGGAAAAGUAUCCUCUCCGGCUCCCUUCCACCAAAUCCACCAAGUUCAAAGAUCCGAGUAAUUUAAAUUUGAUCAAACGGCUACAAACAAAGUUCACUAUAAAAGUUAUAAUAGAUUUGAUCAAAUUUCAAGGGCCGAUCCGAACUUGUGAAUUUGGCGGAAGGGAUCCGGAGUCAUUUCUGUUGAAAAUCUCAUCGCCUCUCCUUUCAGCCCUUCAAGGAAAACCCACUUCUUGGGCCGUCUUCAACCACGUAAAGCUUCACUCUUAUAUUAGUUUCGGUGUUUAAAAUUGUUGGGAUUUGCAGUUUUGGAUUGAAAUUUGUGUUUUGGGAUUUGUUGGGUGCUCGCAUGUGUUAAUUUGGAAAAUUUUAGUUGUGGAUUAUGGGGAACUGAUGUAAUGGCGAUCCCGUUUCAUGUAAGUUGCUUUUGUUGAUGUGUUUUUGGUGAAAUAAUGACGAGGAGGGUUGGAUAGUUUGGCUGGUUUUAAUUUUUUUUUGUGAAAUUAGAGUGGGAUCAAUCAAGGUUGAGACUUUUUAAGGUAAGAGUUAUUGUGAAAGUUAUGUUUUUACAAAUUUUUGGGCAAAUUUUGUGACUUGGUGGAUUUGGAAUUUUGGUUAUAUUAGAUAUAUGUGUAAAGAAAAUAGUUGAACUGCAUGAAGCUUGAGGGGUAAUGAGGGUUUUAGGUAUUUAGUGACAUUCAGGCCAUGCUUGAUGUCUAUUUGAUGUCGGUGUAUCGGAAAUGCUUGAACAAAGAAGAAAGGUGCUCGAAGAGCUGCAGUAGUUAACUACUUGGUUUGAUUAGAUUGCUAUGUUAAUCAAAAUGUCCCCUGUAGUAUGUUUAUAGGGUUAAAGUUUUACUUUAGCGUUCUUUAGCGACUUGGUUUCAAAAGUUCACUUUCCUUGGUCUGUGAGGCCAAUGGUAGAAUGAUCAUGGAAAAAUGAAAUUGUUCUGUCUUAAUUUUGUCUGGUAAGAGCGGGUAUGCAUUCUUACAGGACUCGUUUGUCAUUCUUUUAAGCUGUUUAAUGUGCUCAUUUCAGUAUGCAUCAUCCAAAGUCUUUAACCGCUCAAAGUAGCACUACAAGGGCCAGGGAGCUAUCAUCUGUUUGUAAAUAAGAGCUAUAGACAUGUCCUAUAAGGUCAAUAGGUCUCAGUUGCAUAUCUAACUUGUUUCUCAUGUGUUUUCAUCCUAAAGGUUAGAAAAGGUGGGUGCUCUAGACACGCAAGGAGUGGUUCAUCAACACCAAGGGAUGGCGGCUGAUCUCAUGUAUGUGGUUACAUGCUGGAGUUUUCCAUGUGCUUGCCAAUAUGCUGAGUCUUGUAUUCAUUGGAAUUCGGCUUGAGCAAGAAUUUGAAUUUGGUAAGCAUCUGGAUUUUUAGCUUCAUGUAUGUUAUCAUGCAUGUAUGGCCACAUCCAUAAGUGAUUGUAGUAAAAGAUAAUACAUAUAUAUAUAUAUAUAUAUAUAUAUAUAUAUAUAUAUAUAUAUAUAUAUAUAUAUGAGCAAAAAGCCGUCUCAAAGAAGGAGAACGAAGCUUUAAUCUCAUUGGCUACUACAUAAUGGAUAAAAAGGUCGUACCUAGUGCACAAGGCUCCUGCUUUACGCAGGGUCUGGAAGAGGUGAAUGUCGGCUAGCCUUACCACCAUUUAUGGAGAGGCUGCUCCCAAAUCUCGAACCCGAGACCUACCGCUCAUGAGCGAAAGCACUUGCCAUCGCACCAAGUGCGACCUCUAGCUACUACAUAAUGGAUGCAUCAAAAAAAAAAUCCACACAUAUAUGACAUUAGCGUAAAAUUAUAUGAAAUGGGUUCAGUCUAAAACUUGUAACAAGCUAAGUUGUACAUUUCUUGAAUUCAUCUGGCAAAAGGCUAGUUCUGUCUUAGCUAACUUUGUAAUAUACUUCUACUAAAGCAUGCCAACAAUCUAAGUUUAAGUUCCUAUUACUACUAAGGCAUUCCAUCUUUCAACUCUAAAUCUUAAGAAUAAUCAGAAAUCCACCAACUUUAAAGAUAUUUGACCCUCCCACAACAUGGAAUUGAUGGUUUACAAACACAGUAUCAAACAGAAAAUAGUAUUGCAUAUGAACAUGAUUUGAACGAAAUAGGAGCCAGAAGAAAGAAAUGCCCACCAUCCUGUCAUGAACUUUUUUGAUGCCCAACUUCUAACAAUUUUGGAAAACGUCUGCACAGAGAUAAAAAGAGAUUAGAAUGAUUGUUAUGAAGAUUAAGAAAAAGGAGCACAAACACUCAAAGCAUCGGAAAACUUAUGCCCCAACUUAGGCCACCAAAAAGUAACAAACUUUGACACACUGUAACCGUUUCUUCUUCUCCUUCCGAUUCAGAGUGUAUUAUGCGUCUUGCCUAGUUGUAUUAUGUUGAAAAGUUGGACUGGGCAUUCAUAUGGCUUCCCUUUCUCCGGCCAAAACCAAACAACAGCUUGCUCAUCCCCUGCAAUUAAAAUACAACAAAAAAAAUCAAAAGAAUAAGUUAAAAUUUAAAAUCUCAUCUGGGUACGUUGGGUUCGAUAUUUUAUCAAUUGUUGUUUCUGAGUUGUGUUUUUUGCGGAUUUUCACAACCAAAAAUAAACCUUAAUACCCAGACCUAAAUUCUUGUUCGGAUUUUAUUAGAUUUUUUAUACCGUAUAACUUACCAAUUUCCAUUGUGUUUGAGAAGAUAAACUACUUUUGUAAAGAACUUUAGAAUUCUAAAUUAGGAUAAAUUGCUUAUCUUUAGCAAAAUGGAUUCUACUGCUAUUCUUCACAGGCGACGGUGAAUGUUUGGGUGCCGCUGCUGGUUGGGAUUGCGCUAGUUGUUGCACACGCGGCGUUGAGGUGGACCGAUGGGUUGCCGUGGACAAAGAGAGCUCUGCGUUGUUGACUGGUUAUUCGGCUCGAUUAUGCGAAUUCAUGGAUUUGGAUGAAUCAGUGAUGGCGGUGGUUUGGGUAAACUAUUUGGAGAAACAAUUUACAGCGUCACACGGUGGGGAAGCAUCCAGAAAUCAGGUGGGUCGACAGACUGAAACGGUGGGGCAAGGAAGAAUUCAGAAAUGAAGUAAAAGACCAAAGAAUAAUAAGGGGGUGUAUUCAAUUAUUGGUAUUUUAAGAGCUUUUAAUUUUUUUAAUGAAUAUAGGGUGUAUUCAAUUACGAUUUUAAAAAGGUUCACAAUAUUACAAAUGUAUUCAAUUAGUAUUUGAUUUUAAAGAAUUUUAGAAAGUUGAGUAAUUAUAGGAAAUUUGAGAGAUUUUGUAGUAUAUUUUAAGCAUCUAUAAAUCUCUUAUCUUCCCAUGAGAUUUCAAGGUAAUUAAAUUAAAAUUUUACAUAAAAUCUUUACAAAUCAAUUAAACUUCAUAAAAAUCCAUGAAUUUAUAAACCUUUUAAAAUCUCAUCAAUUCUCAAUUGAAUACACCCUUUUAAAGCAGGACUCAAGAUGGAAUCUCAUUGUACAAUAUACAGUAACGACAGAAACAGAGAAAGAAUAAAAAUGGAAUAACACUGUAGAAUAAACAGUGUUUUAGGCAAUUUUCUCUUUUAGUGUGUGUAUAUAAUUUGCAUAGUAUGUAACACUGAGAAAAAUGACACGUAAUAUAACAACAACAAAACACUAAGAACUACUAAAUCUUAUUCUAUUAUGCAUGGGUUAGCCGUAUAAAUUCUAAAAUUUCACUAAGCCGGUUUGGUGAUAAGUUUUUCGUUACCAUCGUACUCCAUAUCUUUCUUACCAUUUCUUCCCAAAUGUUCUUACUUCCUCUACCCUCUGAACUAACCCAAGAAACAUAAAUUUUUUUUUUUUUAAAAAACCCCAAAAAGUAGAAAAAAAAGAGGCAAACUUCAGAACCCAUUUCAUUCAAUUUUUCCCACAUUUUGAUUUCGAUGAGAUUCGAAUCAAAACCCAAAUGGGGUUUCUGGGUCUGAAUCCAAAUUUUUGAUUGAAGACAAAAAAAACGAAAAAAGGGGAGAUUUUUAUGGAGAGAGGCCAACCUGCUGCGCCGAGCAGCUUAGAGAUAAAGGUGGUGAGUCCACGGCGGAGCGACAACGUUGUGCACCCGGCGGGACAGCCUCCGGAGACGACGACGCCGCGGCAAUCGUUCAGCGACUACAGCCCGUUGAAGAGGUGGGUGUCAUGGCUGGUGCCGUCGAUUGUGGUGGCCAACAUUGUGGUUUUUGUGGUGACCAUGUUCGUGAACGAUUGCCCCAAGAACUCCGACACUUGCAUUGGUCGGUUCCUCGGCCGCCUCUCCUUUCAGCCCUUCAAGGAAAACCAUGUAAAUUUUUCACUCUUUUAUUUGUUGGGGUUUGGAGUUUUGGAUUGAAAUUUGUGUUUUGGGAUUUAUUGGGCAUUUACAUGUGGAAAUUUGGAAAAUUUUAGUUGUGGAUUGUGGGGAACUGCCGUAGUGGCGGCGAGCCCGUUUGUGUGUUUUUUGGUGAAACUAUGAUGAGGAGGGUUGGAUAGUUGGAUUGGUUUAGUUGUGAAAUUAGAGUGGGAUCAAUCAAGGUCGAGACUUUUUUAGGUAAGAGUAAUUGUGAAAGUUAUGUUUUUACCAUUUUUUAGGUAAAUUUUAUGACUUGGUGGAUCUAGAAUUUUGGUUAUAUUACAUAUAUUUGUAAAGAAAACAGUUGAACUGCAUGAAGCUUGAUGUAAUUCUGCUUUUAAUCAAUGUUGGACUUGGGAACCCUAGUGAAUAUAGAAGUGAAUCUACGAUUAGUUGAGAAACUUAAGGGAGCUUGACGGGUAAUGAGGGUUUAUGUAUUUAGUGACAUUCAGGCAAUGCUUGAUGUCUAUUUGAUGUCGGCAUAUUGGAAAUGCUUGAACAAAGAAGAAGGGUGCUUGAAGAGCUGCAAGUAGUGAACUACUUGGCUUGAUUAGAUUGCUAUGUUAACCAAAAUGUACCCUGUAAUAUGUUACAGGGUUAAAGUUUUACAGUAGUGUUCUUUAGCGAUUUAGUUUCAAAAUUUUCGUUCGACUUUCCUUGCUCUGUGAGGUCAAUGUUAGAAUGAUUAUGGAAAAAUGAAAUUGUUUGUCCUAGUAUCUCUGGUAAGAGCGGGUAUGCGUUCUUCAAGGACUUGUUUGUCAUUCUUUAAAGCUGUUUAAUGUGCUCAUUUCAGUAUGUGUCAUCCAAAGUCUAUAACUGCUAAAAGUAGCACUACAAGGCCGAGGGAGCUAUCAUCUGUAUGGAAAUAAGAGCUAUAGACAUGCCCCAUAAGGGUCAAUAGGUCUCAGCUGCACAUCUAAGUAUCUAACUUGUUUCUCAUCUGUUUUCAUCCUGAAGGUUAGAAAAGAUGGGUGCUCUAGACGUUCAGAGAGUGGUUCAUCGACACCAGGGAUGGCGGCUGAUCUCAUGUAUGUGGUUACAUGCUGGAGUUUUCCAUGUGCUUGCCAAUAUGCUGAGUCUUGUAUUCAUUGGAAUUCGGCUUGAGCAAGAAUUUGGUUUUGGUAUGCAUCUGGAUUUUUGGCUUCAUGUAUGUUAUCAUGCAUGUAUAGCCACAUCCAUAAAUGUUUGCAGUAAAAGAUAAAGCACACAACAUAAAUUGUAGAAUAAUAAAUUAGUUACCAAGUGCAAAACUUCUUUCAUAAAUCUAGAAGAGACACUUUCCGGAUGGUUUCAUCUACCUUGCGAUUAAUCUACAGAGGAUUUCUCUGCAUUUGUUUAUUGAAUUGUAAUCCUAGAGUAGUGGUCAUGUAGUGCUGGUUGCAUUAUAACUUUCACCAGUAUGUUGCUAGGUUUGAUGGAAACAAGAGGACGUUUUAUUCAGCGGUGAGCAAAGAAAAGAGUUUAUACACCGAAGAUGGGGUUCAAACUUUAGUUUUAGACAUAGUAUUUCAUUUUAUAGAAUAAAAUUGCUUGAAACAAAAGCUGAGAGAUUAUUUCAGUUUUCCAUCACAUCUGUGGGAACAAGGAUUGUUUUGGAUAUCCAGUACAUGUAGACAUGGUUCCUCAUUUUGAAAUGUUUCAAGAUGCCGUCUAUUUGAAAAGAUUGAAAAAAUAAUAGUUUGAUGCUGAUCUACAUCAUGUACGGUUGUUUUGAUGAACUGUUUUAACUAAUUGGUUUGAAAUUCUAAUUUUUUUUUUAUUUGUUCUUCGGCAGUUCGAAUUGGUUUCCUAUAUUCUCAUGUCUGGUUUUGGUGGGAGUUUGCUUUCAGCUCUUUUUAUUCAAUAUGGUAUUUCUGUUGGUGCUUCUGGUGCACUUUUUGGUUUACUCGGAAGCAUGCUUUCAGAGCUCAUAUCAAAUUGGACAAUGUAUGUAAAUAAGGUAAAUAAAGUUUCUGUAUACUCAACGAUGCACCUCUUUAUAGUAUGUGCACGACCCUUUGAUCUUACAGUUUCAGAUUUCAAUCCGCAGUUGGCAGCAUUGCUUACUUUCCUUUUCAUCAUCAUAAUAAACUUAGCAGUGGGAAUUCUACCACACGUGGACAACUUUGCUCAUAUUGGAGGAUUUGUCUCCGGAUUUCUUCUUGGAUUUUUUUUUCAUUUUGAACCAAAUGUUACAAAUUUCAAUCAAUGCUCUCGAGUCUUGAACCAAAUGUUUUUUCAUUUUGGAUGAUUGCCAAAUGUUUCCAGAGAGCUUCUGAAGUCAAGGUGCUUUAAGGGUCUUGGUCCUUGGCGUACCGAAAAUGCCAGACAAUAGGGCCCAGUAGUGGAAGUAAGCUAGUGAAGUCGUCUAAAAAAACAAGCCAAAGUUGUUCCUCCUAUGAUCCUAUCCUUGCUUUUCAGUGCAGUGUUCGUUUGCUGUAGGAGCUCCCUGCAGUCGGGACUCGGAGGGAAUGCGACGGAUAGGCUGGCGCUGCUUGCCAUCAAAGCUCAAAUAAAGCAAGAUCUCCAUAAUUACAACGUGAUGAGCUCCUGGAACGAAUCCACGCACUUUUGCAUGUGGAAUGGUGUGACGUGCAGUCGACGACAUCGUCAAAGGGUCACUACCCUAGACCUGCAAUCUCAAAAUCUGGUAGGGAAACUAUCCCCAAACAUUGGAAAUCUAAGUUUUCUAAGGGAGCUGUGGCUGUUAAAUAACAGCUUCAGUCAUGAAAUUCCUCCACAAAUUGGGAAUUUGCGUAGGUUGCAGGUAUUGCGAUUAGACUUUAACUCGUUUAGUGGCAGUAUUCCACACAAUAUAUCAUAUUGCUUCAACCUUAUCCAUGUGAAUUUCACUCGCAACAAGUUGGUGGGUAAAAUUCCUUCAGAAAUUGGAUUGUUGUCGAAGCUGCAAAAACUUGCAUUAGAAUAUAAUAAUGUAACGGGACAGGUCCCUCCUUCCUUGGGGAACCUUUCGUCUCUCCAGGGACUAAGUCUUCUUAGUAAUAACUUGAUGGGAAACAUCCCUAGUUCUCUUGGCCGGUUGAAAAAAUUAACCUUCCUGGGAUUGGGGGUAAAUCAGUUGUCUGGUAGCAUCCCUUCCUCCAUUUAUAACCUAUCUUCUCUUGUUACAUUUACCAUGCCAUUUAACCAAAUUCAAGGGAGUAUUCCAUCAGAUAUUGGCAAAAAUAUUCCUAAUCUUGGAUUCUUUAACGUCCACAAAAACCAACUCACUGGGUGCAUACCUCACUCAAUAUUCAAUGUCACAAGUGUUUUGGGUUUUGAUGUUGGGAGUAACAACCUAAUCGGACAGGUAUCGAAUCUCCAAAAGCUUCACAACCUCCUGCAUUUCAGCAUUCAAAAUAAUAAUAUUGGAAGCGGUAAAGAUGGUGACUUAAGUUUUCUCUCGGACUUGACCAAUGCCACCCAGUUACAACGGUUGUUUAUUAACAACAACAAUUUUGGAGGGACAUUGCCCAUGUCAAUAUCCAAUCUCUCAACCAAACUUGAUAUGUUUUGGGUUGGCGGUAACCAAAUAUAUGGAAGCAUCCCAUCUGGGAUAGGGAAUCUGGUGAGCUUGGAAUCGUUGUAUUUGGGGUAUAAUAGCUUCACAGGUAACAUCCCCUCUGACAUGGGUAAGCUGUCAAACAUUGGAAUAUUAGAUAUUUCCAAUAACACAUUAUCAGGAAAUAUUCCGUCUUCCAUAAGAAAUUUAACCAAGUUAUUCCGUCUUGCGUUGCAUAGAAAUCAUCUUGAGUGCAGCAUUCCUUCAGGUAUGGGGGAAUGCCAUGGGUUGCAAUUGUUGAAUCUUUCUUAUAACCUCCUAAAUGGCACAAUACCCAAACAAGUUUUUAGACUCUCCUCCUUAUCGAUUUCUUUGGACUUGUCUAAUAACCUCUUCACAGGUUCCCUUCCCUCGGAGGUUGGGAAUUUCCAGAGUCUAAGUGAACUGUAUCUUUCUGAUAACAUGUUAUCUGGAGAACUCCCCAGUAGGCUUGGUGGUUGUGAGAGUUUAGAAGUCCUGCAUUUGCAAGGAAACUUCUUCAAUGGGGCCAUUCCAUUGUCUAUGAGUUCAGUGAGAGGGAUUCAAGAUCUAGACCUUUCUCGCAAUAAUUUUUCAGGUGAAAUUCCGCAUUUUUUAGAAGGCUUUAGAUUCUUGAAUAAUUUGAACUUAUCCUUCAAUCAAUUUUGGGGAGUGGUACCAACUGGAGGUGUUUACAAAAAUGCGAGUGCUAUUUCAGUUAUUGGCAACACUAAUCUGUGCAGCCCUGUUGCUAAUUUAAGCUUCCCAAGUGCAAGUCUAUAGAGACCAAGACACAAAGAUUGUAUCGUAGCUUGAAACUAAUACUCCCUUUAGUAUUUGGACUUACUCUUCUAGGAAUAGCCAUGGUGUUCUCCUAUUUCUUUCUUUGUUCGUCAAGGAAGAAAAGGAAAGAAAUUUCAUUGAGCACUUUGGGGAACACUACUCUACAAGUGUCAUAUGCUGCUCUACUCAAAGCUACCGACGGGUUCUCAGAGGCUAAUUUAAUUGGUGCUGGUAGUUUUGGGUCUGUGUACAAAGGAGUUCUUGAUGAGGAUGACAAAUCUCAACUUGUUGCCGUGAAGGUGUUUAACUUGUUACGCCAUGGAGCUUUAAGGAGUUUCAUAGUCGAAUGUGAAGCUUUGAGAAAUAUUAGGCAUCGAAAUCUCGUCAAGAUUAUAACAAUGUGUUCAAGUGUUGAUUUUCAUGGUAAUGAUUUCAAGGCUCUAGUUUAUGAGUUCAUGGACAACGGGAGCUUAGAGGAGUGGCUGCAUCCACCUAUUGAAACUGAAGAGUUAAGAGACCAUGUACCCAAGAAGUUAAGUCUUCUUCAGAGGCUAGAAAUUGCCAUUGGUGUUGCUUGUGCACUGGAUUAUCUUCAUAAUCAUUGUAAAACUCCAGUAGUUCAUUGUGAUCUUAAGCCAAGCAACGUUCUCUUGGACAAUGAAUUGAUUGGCCAUGUUUCUGAUUUUGGAUUAGCAAGGUUUAUCUCACAAGUAACAAGUAAUGUUUCAGCAAUUCAGAGUCGGACAAGUUCUGUUGGAAUAAGAGGAACAGUUGGUUAUGCAGCUUCAGGUAUAUAUAUGUUAGAUAUGUACUUCAUUAUAUUUCCUUUUUUAUUUUGGAGUAUUGAAUUUACAAAAUUCAAAAUGAACUAUUUAUACACAAAUGUGAUGUUUGAAUUGUAGAGUAUGGCAUGAGGAGUGAGGUGUCAACGAAUGGUGAUGUCUACAGCUUUGGCAUUCUCUUGUUGGAGAUGUUUACACGGAAGAGACCCACUGACAACAUAUUUGGUGAUAGCUUGAACCUUCAUAAUUUUGUCAAGAUGGCUCUCCUCGGGCGAGUUACUGAGAUUGUAGACGCGCCACUUCUUCAAGGAGGCACAAACGAGAAUCCCAAUCAAUGCAACGCAAGAAUUCAUAAAGUUGAGGUGUGCUUGGGUUCAAUAUUUAGAAUUGGAAUUGCUUGUUCUGCUGAAUCCGCAACAGAUCGACUAAAGAAUAUCAAUGAUGCUGCAUCUGAACUUCAUUCCAUUAGGAAUACUUUUCUUGGAUAGAAACUCUUUUUUAUGUGCUUUUGUGAUAGAGAAGUUUCGUGUGAAGGGUGUAUUACUACUUUUAUGUACUGCCUGUGUAAGUCUAGCUUUUAUGUUACCACAGUAGAUGUGGAAGUUUGCAAUGUAAAUAAUCACCAAUGAGGUUCAUUGUGUGAAGAGUGUAUUACUACAUCUUGUACUUGGUAUUUUUGUGUAAGAUUCACAUCGAUUUGUUUGGAUCAAAACUUAAACUUUGGGCUCGAAGGAAGUUGGCCCAAAGAGCAGCCUAAAGGGGAGAGGUACUCGAAGGCCCAGUCAAAACCCAGCCGAAGUCCAGAAGACAGGAGAAGCUUGUUUCUGACUAGGUGCAGGCCAUGCAGACCACUUGCUCACCUACCCAAAGGCCAAGUGGUAUAGACCAGCCAGCUAAUCAGCCCAAAAAGUACUUUUAAAUGGUAGUACAAGUAAAUAGCUGAUGAGUCACUACCCUUCAAACUGCAUUCGGGCAAGGUUGUUGCUACCGGAGGCCAAGCCAAGGUGUCUAUAAAAGGAGAAAGAGAGGUCAGAAUCAAGGACACUCAAACAAACAAAUACAAGCACAAACUCUGCUCAAAGCCAGAUUUGCCUUCAAAACUAAGCUGUAGUCAGCCCAAGCCUUCAUCCAUUUCGGGAUAAACCUUUUGUAAUAGCUCUGCUACCCUGUUCAACUCUUGUUGUAGUAUCGAUUUCUUUUGUAAACUCACCUCCCAACCCUUUUUCUAAGCUUUCAAACUUUCUGAUAAACCACAAAGAUAGGAAGUUGCAAGACGAUCAGCCUUGCCUGACAAGGUUAAACCUUGCCCAACCCUCUUUGUUUUUUUUCUUUUCAUUCAUUAGCCUAGCAAUAUGUUGUAUACUACAAGUUGUAUCCCAGUUGUUUCUAGUAAUAUGGCUAUUAAAGGACUCUCUCAGCACUUGAAUCCGAUUUGAAUAUGUCUUCACAGUUUAAGCCAGAUUUAAGUUCUAAGUCUUCGGGCAUAUAAGAUUUGAUCAUUCUAAAAGUCCUUGGCCUCAAGGCAUAAAAAAGAACCUGAUGUGGACUUAACCCAUCCACUACAAGCUUUGAUAACAAGAAGUCCGAAGUUACUUGGGGCGCAAGUAAUCGACCUGUCACUUAGUUUUAUUGCUGUUAUAUUAUGAUUACCAUAUAGCGUCCGAGGACAGGAUGAAUUCUGAUGGGAAGCCUCAAGGCCUAUUCAAGGCCCCACAAAGGCACCUAUUUGGAUUCAUCCUAUUUCUCGGGCAAGAACAUUGAGUAUAGAAGGGGUUUUGAUGGGAAGCCUCAAGGCCUAUUUAAGGCCCCACAAAGGCAUCUAUUUGGAUUCAUUCUGCUCUUUGAGCUCAGGUAAUCAGAAGUAUGAUGGUUAUAAGACCCAUAUAACCAAGAAAAGGAACCUUAUGUGUUCGAGUACUAAGUUAGUUAUUUAUGGGAAGCCUCAAGGCCUACACCUAAGGCCCCACAAAGGCACCUGUCAAUAACUAAACUUAGUCUCUCGAAUAUAUAAUUAAACUCAAACAUCCGUUCUACAUCUGCCAUGCUGAAAAUGGCAGUGGCACGCCUGAGCACUUAAAAGUUAAUUUUGAUUGUGAGCCUCAAGGCCUACACCUAAGGCCUCACAAAGGCACCUUUCAAAGUUAACUUUGUCAUUCUCUUUCAGCCUUGCCCGACAAGCCCGCCAGUAAAGCAGGAGCCCGACAUAAAAGCAUCAACCGGCGCCAACCUCUCGGGGAGCUGUGUGCUCGUCGGACAGGAAGCAUCCCCCACGGAAAUUCCUGCCACGAACACGAUUAAAGUCUAGUUAGGGCCACGAAAUUGUUGAAUAUUCACAUUGACAUAUUUGAAAUUUUUGAAAGAUUCAUAACCUCAAAACCCUCAACGUUCAAUAAAAUCAUCUUGGCAGCUGUAAGAUGGUGAGUUGAGUUUCCUAUCAGACUUGACCACCAUCAGUGUUAGAUUCUGCAAGGGAAUUCCUAAUCUCAAGCUGCCCUAUUGCAAGUCUAAAGAGCUCCAAGAAAAGAAGAUUAGCUUGAAAUUAAUAAUCCCUUUAGUAUUCGGACUUGAUCUACUUGCAAGUGUCAUAUGCUACUUUCUCAAAAGCCACUGAUUGGUUUUCUUCAGCUAAUUCGACUAGUGUUUAACAUGUUAUACGUCAUGGAGCAUCAAAGAGUUUCAUAGCCGAAUAUAAGGCUUUGAGAAAUUUCAAGCAUCAAAAUCGUGUCAAGAUCAUAUCUACAUGUUUUCUCGAUGAUUAUUUCAAGGGUCAUGUUUAUGAGUUGAUGCACCAAAGGAGCUUAGAGGAGUGGUUGCUUCCCCUCCUGUAAUUGAAAAGGUAAGAGAUCAAUACAUCCAACAAUUUAAAAUCUUCUUCAAGGGCUAGAUAUUGUUAUUGGUGUUGCUAUUAUGCACUGGAUUAUUUUCAUAACCAUAGCGAAACACGAAUAGUUCAUUAUGAUCUAAAGCCAAGCAAUGUUCUUCUAAACACCAAGUUAACUGGACAUGUUUAUUGAAAGUAGAUUAAUAUCAGACUGUUACUUAUAUGAACUCCUCCAUAUAAGUGAAGGGAAUUGGGUUCAAGUUGGUUGGUUUGGUUAAUAGGGUUUGCAAAUGGCCAUCUUUUGUAGAAUUUUAACCCCAACUUUAAAGCCCAUGGGCUAUGACAAAUCAAGGUUUUCUAGCAUUGUUGCUAUCAAUAUUCUCCCAUGCGCAUUCUGAAGUCUAUUCCAAUGGUUUUAGCAGUCGUUCUACUAAUCUUGACAAUGAACGAGUUUUUAUUUAUUUUUUAUUCGAGCAAAUGAUAUUAUCUACACUAAGAGGAAGGGGAUAGUUUUAGUCUUAUAAUGGGCUAACAAUAAUGUGGUUUAAAUUCGUCUUUGGUGAGAAACGAACCCAAGACCUCUCACUUACAAGUGAAGAGAAUACCACUAGACCGUAGUACUAAGUGGCAUGAAAGAGUUUCUAUUAAACCCGCAAAAAUGAAAAUUCUCAACCAUUCAUUAAUGGAUACUAACAAAUUUUUUUUUAGUACAAAGAUAUGUCACGAUAAUGUAACUUAUAGUUGUGUCACUGACCUUUUAACUUAUUGCCCUAUCUUUAACUCACUCCAAUUAAUAUCGUCCUCUAAUUGUUAGUAUCUAAUGAAUCUCAUCAUAAAUUGUUACCCAAUAUAUUAAUUAUCAAAGCAAAUAAACUUGAUUGAGUUAUAAAUUUAUUGUGACCCAAUUGGUAUGGUUAGUAGAAAAAUCAAUUUUGUUCAUAAUUUUCAUGUCUUCCAAGUGAACAUGGGGCUAUAAGUGAAGUUCCAAAGGUUACGGUGGUGUAAUUUGGUCCAUGAAUUGUCUCCUUCAUUUUGCAUGCAUGCGGUAGGUUACUGACUACCAAUAAUUCUCGUUACCAAGCAAAUUAAAUACCAUUAAUUAAGAGCUUAAAAAGUCUUUAAUUAUUACCUCUCUAUUUUGCUUUAGCAAUUAGGAAAUUUUCCCCUUUUGCGUACAAUAUUAUAAGAAUAUUUGUGUUCUCCACACUCAAAUGAUGGUGAUGCUUACUACCUUAUUUAUCACUGUUAUAUGAGUUUAGUACCUUGGAUAGACACAAAUCUCAAAAUUUAAACAAAUACAACGGUAACAAAUAAGGUGGUAAGCAUUACCACCACUUGAGAGUGAUGACUAAAAAUCUCCCCAAUAAUAUAAGUAGUUAAGUUUGUUGGUGUGGUAGUUGGUCUUUAGCAAGCUUCUUAUAGAAAAGAAGAAGCAUUUAUUUGAAAAGAUUCAGACUCCUUUUGGAUAUAGAUAAACAAUGGCUUGUUAAAAACCAAAAUGAUAAGGCAUUCAACAUUCAACAUUCACCUAAAAAAAAUGAUAUACAUGAUAUCCAUCAAUGUUUUGGUAACAAAUUCCCAAAUUGCUCUAUCUACCAAACAUUUGCAGAUCAAUAGUUACAGAAGGUCACUUUUAUGAUAUUCAACCCAAUACCCACAUUAUUGGCAAAACAAACAUUGUAUAGAUCUUUUGAGUACCCGAGCCAAUGACAAUAACAUUGACGGCAACUACAAAAAAUUUACAUUAUAUAAAGAGGCAAUCUCAGAAUCAAAAUUGUCAAAAUCCAUAUUUGAUGGCAUUUUUUCAUCAGUCAAUCAAUACACACAUAACACAUAAUCACAAACUCGAUAAAAAUUCAAACCCAUAAAUCCAUAAUUAGCAAUGUUUUUUCUUAACCCCCAAAAACAAUCCAAAUCUUAGUGGUUACAUUCCUUAGUCAAGCACUCAACCACUUGGGCACAUCGACUACAACUUGGGAAUGUUACGCAAAUCUUAGGCAGCUUGAAUCAUUAAAUUUGAGUUGGAAGAAGCUCUGUUACCUGCUCUGCUAGUUGAGGAGUGUCACCAAAUUCGGCACUAUCAUCAGCAUCAACACAUUUCACAAACUCCCACUUCCAAAACAUUUCACAAAAUCAAAAAUCAAAUGAGUUUAUGUAGCAGAAAAGAUUGACGGAAAAAUAGACUAGGAAAAGCAAUUAAUAUUAAAUAGAGGAUAAAUGAUGUUGUCCAGUAAAUAAGACAGUUGUAUAUAUUUCUCGACCAUGAGAAAACAUCAAAUUAAUAGAGGCAUUAAUCCUAAGUUUGCCAUUCAUUGUUGUCGGUCUAAACUUGAUGACAUAUUGUAAAGUCCUCGUACAUACAGAUUCAUGAAAUAUUAAUUUAUUUCCAUGAGUUAUUUGAUUUUGCAAAUUCAAAAUAAUUGAAGAAUACUGAGAAUUACUAAACAUCCAAAGAUAGCAUUUGUGAAUUACUAUCCCAUUUGUGAAUUACUGUCCUUCUAAGCAUCCAAAGAUAGCAUACCCAAAAUACCAAAUUCAACUCCAAUAUAAUAAAAAAUUAAAAAACAAAUUAACCAAAUUGGGAUAGUUAGAUCAAAUAAAGAUUUACGUCAACCAAUUACACAAAAUAAUUCAUGCAAAGUAGGCUCCUAAGAAAAUAUACCACUAUGGAGGUGGAGGAGGCCCAGGCUCAAACAGUGGAGGACGGUAGCAUUUAAAUAUACCGCAGCAGCAUGGAAUCCACAAACUGCAUAAUCAAAACCAAAAUUUUAAAAUUUAUAUUUAUAUUUAAAUUUGAAAGAAAAAUGCAGUAGAAUUGUAUAAUGAGAAAUUCUCCAAUGUGGAUAAAUUAAUCUUGCAGGAUGCGAUCAGUUGUAUUGGGCUGGCAACCGGCUUAUGCUCAAAUCCAACUAAAUUUAUCAUACAGCCUUCCAACUACAAUUCAAGGGAAGAAGUUCCAAGUCCAUGCAUAAUGUUUGCUCAACUAAAAUAAAUUGCUUUUCAUGAUUAAAAUAGCCAACCAACCAACACUCAUUUGAUAAAAUUGAACAUUUGGAGUUAUAUAUCCACAUAUUCCACAUAUUUAAGAUCGAACGAACCUUCUCAUGAAGACCACCCAAGGGUCCAUUAGUGAGUUGUGUGACCAGAGGAUUUACUGCACUUGAGUUUCCUCGUGCAGCUGCAAGAGCUAUGAGCUUACGUUGACUGUCAAUCACUUCUCCGCUUAAGGUUUGCGUCACCGAUGAUGCAGAAUUAAUAGCUUCCUGCAAAGAAGUGCAAUAAGAAACCUUAAUUUGUUAAAAUGUGAGUAACUACAGUGUUCUCAAUUGAUUAAAACAUCAUCCGAUGGUGUUUUCUAGGCUUUUUUUUUCCUUCCUUUCGCAGGCCAUUAUUUCAUUAGCCAUCUGAAGAAUUGCAAUUGAUAGAAUCGGUGUUCUUUGAAAUAAUCAUAACACUUCACAACACAAUGGCAACAAUUUAUACAAAUUCUAACAACAAAUUGUCAAAAACAAUGAGAACAAUUACCAGAAAUUUCAAAUCUUUUGGGGGUUCAGAGUAAUUACCAAAGAGAUGAAAGCUAAAAUCAACAUUAGUCCAAUUUUUUCAAAAUAAGAACAGCUCCGAUCUGAGAAAUACAAUGCAAUUUCUGAAGGAAAAAAAAAAGCAAGAAAACCCUAAAAUCCCUAAGAACCCUAAUUUAUAAACCCUAAACAAACGCAAAAGGAGAGGAGACUCAAAUAAAGGGAAAAUCGAGAAAUUCAACAUACUAUCGGAGCGAGGACGCUUUCUGACGACCAAAUUCAUCGACACCGGAGGCGGUUGUCGACCAUCGCUGCACCUUCAUUUCGCCUCCGCCAUGUUUGAGGCUUUCGACCGUCACUACUUGGUUUGUGUGCUUCAUGUCGAGAGAUAUGGGGAGCCGAGAGGUUGUGGGUUUUCUAGUAGAGAAGGACAGAAACAGGAAGAGUGAGAGAUGAGAGAGCGCUCGCGUAGGAGAGAAAGAGGAAGAGUGAGAGAUGAGACCAGAGCGCACGCGUCUAACCCAUCGCAAUCCGUUAUAAACUUACCCUAUCAACUUUUGAGAAAUACCCUCCCAACCCAUCCCCAUUUGGCUGACAUUGUUGUAAAUAGCGUCAAAUUGAGUGGCAAAGAUUUGAAAUUACACCCGCUCAUUGCUGCAAGAAUCAGUUGUUUCAGGCGUAAUCGGAUGAAUAAAACACAUUUAAGUUAAAUUUAACACAAUUAUGAACAAACAGAGGGAUACAUGAGUGAAUGAAGUCGAUAAGAUAAGCAGUUUUGCUUUUAUAUACAUUCAAGUGAGCUAGCAUAUAAACAUAUUGUACAACGAGUGGGAAGAAACUGAACGUCUUUGAUUACAAAGAUAUGGUUUCCAAAAAAGUUUUUUUUUCUUAAGAAAUAGAAGAAACAUGUAGUUCACACAUAAUAUGUGUCUUGCAGUGUAGACAGUCAUUGAACAGGUAAUAUCAAGAAAAGAAAUUAAAAUAUUAGGCAUAUGAGUGCAAGCUUACAAAUACGUUGUUUUUGUAUAAUUUCUUCUCCCUUCAAUGAUAGUUUGUUUCUUAUGCAGAAAAAUAAAAUGACCAGGUCAAUGAUACUCACAUGUGCAAAAUGCUAAUUCUAAGGUCUAAAGCUAACUGAGUUUUUAAGUGUAAAAUCCCUAAUUUCACUGCAUUUGGAUUGAUCACAGUUCGUGACUUGUUAAACUUGAUAUCCCCUUGUACAUUUUGUGAACUUGACAACUUAAAGAAGUGCUCAUAAAAGCAAAUUACACAAUAUCUACUGAAAAACUUAGAGAAGAGACUUAACUAAUCAACAAACAGGUGCCUCACACUUAAAUAUUAAAGACCAAAGAGAGAAAACCAAGCCGAACUCUUCAAAAUUCGUUGGCACACAUGCUUCAUUAGCUCAAUUGAAUGUAUAAUGCCUACUUAGAUACAACAAUUCGAACAAUAGCUCAUAAACAGUGCUGAAAUUCCAUUAGCACUAAUCACACACUGCAGGAACAUAGAUCCUAGCAAAGCUACACCAAUUAAAUGACAACGACUAAAAACCACAAACAGGAAAAAUAGAAAAACAGAGUUAUUAGACAGCAUGAUUCAGAUAUAAUUUUAUUAGGGUUGGUAAAAGAACAACCCAUCCAGCACUUCGAACACACCGUGGGAUUUAAAAGUAGGUCUUUCUUGAUUAUAAGCUCAUAUGUCUUGCACCUAAUUUUCAAACACUCAAGCGUCAGUGUCUUAAUACUUCUAACCCACAGUUCAAAACAGAAAGAACCUCAUUUGAUGAAAAUGCCAAAAUUUUCUAAGAAUGGAGUCCAAAAAUUUAUUUUUAAGCAUCCAAAAAGCCAUUAAACUAAAAAUAGUUAGUUCUUCGUACCUUUGUAUGAAGAUAUCACAGGAAAACAUUAGCCUUCCUACAUGCUAUGUUGGAAUUUCAGGGGUUAGAUUAGAGCCACACUUGAGUUCGACAUUGAAAGUGAGGCCUCGCUGGUGUGUUUCCACACCACAUGCUCUGCAAAAGAGAUACAAUCUCAGAAUCAUAAACACAUUGAUAAGAAAUAUACACACCAUAUAUAUAGCAAGAGAAACUUAAGAAACGAAAAGUUCAAUCAAAGUGAGUGAAGUGAACCUUUCUUCUUUUUUUAACCCAAAGCAUUGAAAGUAGCGCAAACCAUUCUUUUGUCCUCUUUCUCCCCUCUUCCCGUGUCCCUCACUCUUUUUCAUCCUUUGAAACAAUAACUGAUAAGGAAAAAUUAAAAAUUACUAUGCAAUCUUGAUUCUGCUAACAUUCCAAAAUUAUUAUCAGUAAGUCUCCAUAUAACCUUUUUGAUUCGCUUCUUUUUCCUCCUAUUUCCCAACCAACAACACAUUUCUUAUCAUCUUUCUUACUAACAUAUGGGCACACACAAAAUAUGUGAGAAAAGUUUUUAUUUUUGUUUUUGAAAUAGAAUGAGAGAGGAAGAGAGUGCUAGAGAAUGUGAAAGUGGGAAGGUUUUUUUUUAUUUUUUAAUUAAAGAUAUGUUAGGAUUACAUGUAAGUGAGACUUUGAAAAAAAAAAACAAAAUUUGAUUGUGUAAAAUUACAUUUCUUAUGCAUGUUCUGUUUUAAUUAGAGGGUUAAACUGGUAAUUUCAUAAGAUUUUGAUUGACAAUGAGUUUCAUUAAUUAGUAGAGAUUCAUAUAUAUGACAAUAAACAAAAAAAAAACAAUAUGCAAAAGAUACAAAAAGUAACAAUAGCACCUUCAUAUUUACCAUUUACACUUGAAGUAAAAUCUCGAAAUAUUUCAGAAAUAUUGUUGAUGCACAAAAUCAGCGAUGACUUUGGUACAACAGAAAGUGUCAAGUUUGUGACCUUCGCUAGAUUGCUCCAGUCACUAGUGUGGAUAAGUAUGUAAAUGGAUAAAGAGAGGGAAGCAAACACAAGAUGUAUGUGGUUCACCCAAAUUGGCUACGUCUACAGAGUAGAGGAGUUCUCAUUAAUUGUGAAGGGUUUACACAAGUACAUAGGUUCAAGCUCUCCUUUAGUGAGUACUAGUGAAUGAUUUAGUACAAAUGAAAUUAGGAAAUAUUGUGGGAGAAUGAUCUCCUUUUAUAGAAGAGAGUUUCUAGCUUUGUUUUGACAUUGACAUGUGUCGUGUUAUGAUUGACUUCUGAUGUUGACACGUGUCGCAUUAUGAUUGGCUUCUGAUGUCGACACGUGUCGCGCUGUGAUUGGCCUCCUGGUUGGAGGGAAACUCUUCUGGGUCAUUGACAAUAUAACGUUGAUCGGUGCUCGGUAGUUUCGAGAUUGAUCAAGUAUGGUACAAACAAAUAUCAUAUGAAAUGCACAAUGUUACAAAUGAAAUUGAUUAAUUAGCACACAAAAAAAAUUGAUAGUGGAGAAUUGGAAAUAACUAUAGGUCGUACCCAGUGCACAAGGCUCCCGCUUUACGCAGGAUCUGGGAGAGGUGAAUAUCGGCUAGCCUUACCCCCAUUUAUGGAGAGGCUGCUCCCAAGUCUCGAACCCGAGACCUACCGCUCAUGGGCGAAGGCACUUGCCAUCGCACCAAGUGCGACCUCUAGAAUUGGAAAUAACUAUAAAAAAUUAAAAAUAUCAAUAGACCAGGAGAAAACUACUUUAAACAAAAUGAAAACUCAGAAUUUAGGAUAAAAAGAAGGAAAGAAAUCAAACAGAAAAGAAGACAAAAGAGAAGAAAAAAAUUAAAGCAAAAUACCUGAAGCUCGGUGAGAUUCAAGCUUCGAACUGAAAAAUGAAACAUUCGGCGGUCAACACCCAAUCACUAAUUAACUAAGUGGUGACCUGCUGACCAUGAACACGUGAAUAAAAUUGUAGAGGUUAAUUAUACGGAAUCUUACCGCAAAAAAAAUAAAAAAUAAAAAACUAAUUGAAAUUAGGGGUGGGUUCAAAAACGAAAACCGAAACCGAACCGAACCGAAAUCGAAAAAACCGAAUCAAAUUAAAAAAAUCGAACCGAACCGAAUUAAUUAAAUUAAUAUAUUUUUUUUAUAUUUAAUUAUUUGUUUUGGGUAUUAUUUUUUAAACCCAAUUUGUAAGCCCAAUGUGUUGCCCAAAAUCAGAAAUUCCAAAUGCAUCGCUACUUUUCCAUUAACUACAAGGAAGAAGUCGUAUAAAAAAGCAAGACCUAAAAUAGUGAUAACAAAAUGGUGCUAACUCCUGACACAGUACUGUUAGUUUCUUAUUCUUGUUUAAUAUGGCUUCUUGCUUCAAGUAUUUGUAUGCUUAUUCAAUACUUCAUUGCUUAUUGUUAUAUGCAGUGAUCAGGUAUUGGUUUUGAUAAAGUGUUUUCCCAUUUGAUAUUACUUCUUCCGACUAAAUAGUAAAUUACAUUACUAAAUGACCGAUAAUACAUACAAAGAGAGCAUAAUCGAUAUAUGACCCUCAUUGGUUAGUAUGAUAAUGCUCUCAUUGUACGUACUAUCGUGAUAAAAUAAUCAGCACAUGUUCACCAACAUACACCAGCUCUUUAUAUUAUUCAUGGUUAAGAGUUGAGGUGUGAAGAAAAUGGUAGAAAAUUUUACUUUUCUAAAAAGAAAUCUAUUUACAAUUAAACUUUAAACACAAAAUAUUAAAAAAAACCUUUAUGUUAUAAUUCUAGUUGAACUUUAAAUAUUUAUUUUCAUUUUCUUUUAUUCUAGUUGGAAUAUUUAUGUUAUGAUUAUGUUGGAGAUGUUAAAAUUUAAGACUUCAAUUUUUUUCAUUUUUUGAAAAAAAAAACACCGAAACCGAACUGGAAAAAACUGAAAAAAAAAAUGAACUGAACCGAAAUUUCGGUGAUUUCGGUUUUGGAAAAAAACCAAACCGAUUUGACCCGAACCCAGCCCUAAUUGAAAUUAUGUGUUGCACACAGUGAUAUCGAAGAAGAAUAAUUUCUAUUUAACUGAAAUUAAAUCCGAAUAAAUGAUUCAUAAAAUUACAGAUUUUCAAUCAAAUGCGGAAUAUACACAACAAUUUUAUUUCUGAUUUGAAUAUAACCAACUAAAUCCCAAGUUGUAUCAGUAUCAAUGGAUCCAACAUGGUGACCAUCUGCCCCUCAAGUAUUCAUAUCUGCAAACCCCCGUCUAAAGAAAAAUUCAUCCAGAAAUUAAUCACUGAGUAUGCAAGGUUGGCAUGCAUAUUCACGUUUUAUCGUGGCCAUGAUGAUAGGAAUUAAAAAAACACGAAAAUAGGAAUGAUGUACCUUUACUUAGAUUUCAGGGUUCUAAAACCUGUUGCUGAGAUUUGAGAAACAUAGGAAAUGUGUUUCAUGAUUUCAAUUUAGAUUUGCAUAAGAGUUCAGAAACACAUACAUCCCUUCUUUUCAUUCCGCGCCUAGGCUUGCAACACCAAAAUAGCACCAGAUCUUUGCAAUGUGCAGGGAAUAUACUGAAAAAACUUAAACCACAAUCAAUCAUCAUCUAUCUAAACAAAAUCAGAACCCAAACCCCUAAAUAUAUAAUAAUAAUAAUGAUUCUAGUAGAAAUUCCAAUCCAUUACAACAAAACACAGAGCUAAAACAACAAAACACAGAAUACCAGGUAUUGCUGGAUGUAGAUAUCCAAAACAGUGGCACCCAUCUAUUGAUCUAAUUACGUAUCCAUUCCCUAUCCAUGGCAGACAAAGUUUGUACUCCCUGUUUACAUGUUAUAAAACAUUUACUAGACCAGCAAUCAAAAUUAACAACCCUAAUUGUUGUAUACGCUAAGCUCUCCAACUGAAAAUGUUUAAUUAAAUUUUCCAACUUAAAACCCUAAAUUAAAUCCUACAAUUUGAAAUAGCAGAAACAAAAUUAGAGAGAAGGAAGAAAUCAAUGACCUUCGAGUUGUUGAAAGCUCAGAUAGGUGUUUCUUUUCAUCCAGCCCUAAAAUUAACCCAGCCUGUGUAUAGAAAAAUUGAACAAAUUUAGACAUUUAUAUGUAUGUAUAUUCCAGUAAAAAGAAUGAAAUGCAUUGAACCCUAAAUUGCAAAACUACAUCAAACUGAUUAAAGAAAAGAAACAGAGAGGGAGUGGGACAGAGAGAAAACCCUAAAAACAGAACCCUUUGGCAACCUAAUACAAAAUCAAGCCAACAAAUUCCAUUCCAAUUUUGACAAAACAAAUCGAAAAAGAAUAAUGAAAACCUGAAUGAAUUACGGAGGAACCGAUGGGUUUAUGCAUCAGCAAUGUGAUAAAACCCAGAAACACAAAACCUAAUAUGUAACAGCUACAAAAACCCAAAUAAAUAAAUAAAACACUCAAAUUUCAAACGAAGAUGUCAUAGAUGGAGGAAGAGAGAAGCGAUAGAGGGGGAGAGAUACUAACUCAACCCCACCAUCUCUCUGCAGCCAACACACUGAUUCCCUCAACCCUACCCUCAAAUCUUGUACCCAAUCAACUCUCUUUCUGUCCCCCUAAUCGUGCACCCGCCGUCACCUUCUCUCUGCAACCAACCCCCUCUCCUCUCUUCCCCAUAUCACACCCCCACCUGUGAGGGCACUGACAGCAGACUACCUCCCUAGAAACCGGCCCUAAAAACCCAUACCCAUACCUCCCUUACUCGUUCCCUUUAACCCUCGCAUAAAAUCCUCCCAUCUAUCUGUCUUUGCAAAUCGCAGAAAACAAACCCUAAACCAAAUCCCUAAAAUCCCACCUCAAUCCUCCCACACUUCUCUUGGACACUCCCUAUCUCUCUCUGCAAUUCGUAAAACAAAUCUCCUAAAUCCUAUCUCGGGCACCCGCAUCUCUCUACAAAUCACACAAACAAAACCCCAAACCUAAUCCUUGAAAUCCUACCCAAACCUAAUCCCUGAAACCCUUUCUCUUGGACAUCCCAUACCACAGAAAAUGUAUCUGAACUUUAGUUUAUAAAAUCGCAGGCCGCCUUCUCUCUUCCUACCUUUUAACAAUUCACCAGUAAGAUUAUCUCAAUAAAAACUUAUAUUAGCAAAUCCAGUGACGAAUGAUGUCAAACUGAAGCCGUAAUGAAAGCAUAUUUUGAGAAAGAAUGAAAAGCCGUCUUUCUACAACUUGAAACCAAAAUUUAAGUGAAUGGCCUUGUAACUAAGGUUAUUGAACAUGAUUAACUAUUCGCAACCCUCAACCUUGUCCCAUCUUUCUGUCCCUGCAAAUUGCAGAAAACAAACCCUAAACCAAAUCCCUAAAAUCCCGCCUAAAUCCUCCCACACUUCUCUUGGACACUCCCUAUCUCUCUCUGCAAUUCGUAAAACAAAUCUCCUAAAUCCUAUCUCAGACACCCCCAUCUCUCUACAAAUCGCACAAACAAAACCCCAAACCUAAUCCUUGAAAUCCCACCCAAACCUAAUCCCUGAAACCCUUUCUCUCGGACAUCCCACACCAUAGAAAAUGCAUCUGAACUUUAGUUUAGAAAAUCGCAGGCCGCCUUCUCUCUUCCUACCUUUUAACAAUUCACCAGUAAGAUUAUCUCAAUAAAAACUUAUAUUAGCAAGUCCAGUGACGAAUGAUGUGAAACUAAAGCUGUAAUGAAAGCUUAUUUUGAGAGAGAAUGAAAAGCCAUCUUUCUACAGCUUGAAACCAAAAUUUAAGUGAAUGGCCCUGUAACUAAGGUUAUUGAACAUGAUUAACUAUCCGCAAUAUGACAACCAUCUGCAACCCUCAACCUUGUAACCUGGAUCAAGCUGGUUUCACACAUACCAAUAGAAAACCAAAAUAUCAAUGUUUGGGGAAGUUACCUUAUUUGAAAUACCACUAAAAAACAGAGUACACUUUUAGGCAAAUAUUGUUUAAACACGCAAACAUAAUUCAUGAUAUGUGCCAAAAAGAAAAUACCUCUCGAUUAGAUUUCUUUUGUUCAUGAACUUUCUCCCUGACAAACUCCUGAGAUAGAACCAAAAAAGAAAAUAAGUCACAACUGAUGCAAGUAGAGGGGAAUGAGGCAGAGAAAAGUAUGAAUUUAUGAGUACACCACUCCUGUUUUAGGUUCCCAACUUAUAAGGAUGCUAACUUCAUCAUAUAGGACUAUUGUUAAACUCAUUUCUUUCCGAAAUUAAAUUAAGAAAAAAGUUCGACACUGGCAUGCCACAACACAAUGUUACAUAAAGUAAUCUUACCAUCACAACCAAAUUGACACAAAACUUCUAACAGUCAUUUUGAAAGUGAAAAUCAAGCAAAUACUCAUUUUCCGAAAAAGAAAAAACCCAACAAAAAUAAACAAAAAGUAGAAGUACCUAAGUUCCCAAUAGUCCAAUCCAUCAGGAAAAUACAAACUUGCACAUGUUUGAGUAAAAGGACCAUAAGAAAGAAGCAGGGGAUGCAAAAUUUUGAGAAUGGGUCUAAUAAUACUCAUCAAGUACAGAUAAUCAAAGUUAAAAGGAGGUAAUAAAGGUAUUGAAAAAAGAAGAAUAUAUUCUACAAGUGAAUGAAACAAAAUAUGGUGAAACUAGAAUGGAAACACUUCAGGAGGCCAGAGGAAGAGGGACAAUACUAUAGCAAAUAAAUUGAUAAUGCUUGUGCUCUCCUCUGUUCUUUCCCAAGUUGAUCCUACAAACAAAAGCACAGACAAAACUUAAAAAACGAUGCCAAUCAAUGAAAGCUAUAUUAUACCCAUCCUGAAUCUUUUAUAAAACAAGGCACCAAGAAAAUUUCAACAGCAAAUAUUUCAUACGAUAAACAAAACGAUGAAAUAAAUUUCAACAUCGGCUUGUUUCAGACAUUAACAUCUUACUUUGAAAUUUCUCCCAUGGUUCGUUGACAGUCAUUGUAGAGUAAACAUUAGGUGGACAACUCUUUGACUACGUCAUUAGACAACUACAAAAGCUUACUUUCCAUAAGCUUGUAACUUACAAAUUCCAAACUACAUGUAUCAUUUGUGUGCCCUCAGCUUUCAUUCUGUAAUCACAUUUACGAUUGAAACAUUAACCAAAUCCAACAACAACAACAACAAAGCCUUUUCCCACUAAGUGGGGUCGGCUAUAUGAAUCCUAGAACGCCAUUGCGCUCGGUUUUGUGUCAUGUCCUCCGUUAGAUCCAAGUACUCAAGUCUUUUCUUAGGGUCUCUUCCAAAGUUUUCCUAGGUCUUCCUCUACCCCUUCGGCCCUGAACCUCUGUCCCGUAGUCACAUUUUCGAACCGGAGCGUCAGUAGGCCUUCUUUGCACAUGUCCAAACCACCGGAACCGAUUUUCUCUCAUAUUUCCUUCAAUUUUGGCUACUCCUACUUUACCUCGGAUAUCCUCAUUCCCAAUCUUAUCCUUUCUCGUGUGCCCAUACAUCCCACGAAGCAUCCUCAUCUCUGCUACACCCAAUUUGUGUACGUGUUGAUGCUUCACCGCCCAACAUUCUGUGCCAUACAACAUCGCUGGCCUUAUUGCCGUCCUAUAAAAUUUUCCCUUGAGCUUCAGUGGCCUACGACGGUCACACAACACGCCGGAUGCACUCUUACACUUCAUCCAUCCAGCUUGUAUUCUAUGGUUGAGAUCUCCAUCUAAUUCUCCGUUCUCUUGCAAGAUAGAUCCUAGGUAGCGAAAACGGUCACUUUUUGUGAUCUUCGCUAGAUUGCUCCGGUCAUUAGUGUGGAUAAGUAUAUAAAUGGAUAGAGAUAGGAAAGCAAACACAAGAUGUACGUGGUUCACCCAGAUUGGCUACGUCCACGGAAUAGAGGAGUUCUCAUUAAUUGUGAAGGGUUUACACAAGUACAUAGGUUCAAGCUCUCCUUUAGUGAGUACAAGUGAAUGAUUUAGUACAAAUGACAUUAGGAAAUAUUGUGGGAGAAUGAUCUCGUAAUCACGAAACUUCUAAGUACCGGAGUGUGGUAUCGUCUUGACUUGCCUUAUCUGUCUCAUAGGUAGAUGUGGCAUCUUCUCUGGAAGUACUCUUCCUCCAUCCAGGGGUGGUAUCUUUAACUGGUGGAGAUGCACAAGGUAAUGUAUCAAUUUCACUUGAAGCUUACUUGUAGUUUCAGGCUUGGUCAAGCGCGAUACAAACCAUGUAGUAGGAGUCCCCCAAGUCGCCGAGCUAGGGGAUCUGCUGAAAGAGGUGACAGACAAGGUAAGCAAUCAGAGCUCCGGCUGAUUGUUCACAUUCUCCCUAUCUUGCAGGCAGCAUGAAGGAUAAAGAGAAGAAAAAUGAGAAGAGAUGAUAUGGGAUACUUUUGCUUUUGAAGAAGUAACUUUCCACAGGCUUAUUCUUGAACUGGGCUGGAGGGUUUUCUGGUUUCCUCCAGAGUAUAAGGCCGACUGAAGAAUUUGAGGGUCAAAACAAGUCCAUCAAAUCUAGAGUACGUUCGACCCUGCUGAUAUGGGAUACUUUUGCUUUUGACAGAGUAAGUGGAUGUAUCGGCACGUGUGCUGUUACGCUUGUCUCCACAUGCUUCCUUGUAUCCUUCUCACUUGCCCUAUCUGUUCCUCAGGCAGAUGCGGUAUCUUCCCUGGAAGCAUAAGAUGUUGAAGAUGAGUACUCGAGAGCAAUGCCAGGUAAGUAAUCAGGUAAGGGGUUCCAGGCAGUCAGUUCCUGGCUGGAAGCUUGAUUCCAAGUGCUGACUGAUUGCUCUCUUUCUCCUUGUCUUGCAGGUAAGAACAAGGCCAAAGGAAAAGACAGGGAAAAAGCAUGAUAUGGGAUACUCUCUUGCUUUUAACCCUGAUGAUAUGAGAUAUUCUUGCUCUAGUAUAGCUUGUUUGCAGAGAGGUAUUAUCGGGGGGAAAGAAAGCUGAAUAUUUCGAAAGGCUUCGUUGGGAGUGCCCUCUCAGAUAUGAGGAAGGGUUGAGCAUUUUUGCAGGUCUGCCUGUCCGUUGGGGAUGGAGGUCGACAUAUAUAUAGGAGUCUCCCUAACAAUCAAGUAGUAAUGCUAUUCCUUUACCCUGCUUGGUCAUAGCACGGUAGUGGGAGCUGCCAGCUUCACAUGUUUUAACUCUGUCAGAGCACUUUGAAAAAGUGGUCUGUGGUAUCUGGAAAGCUGAUGUUGCGUGUGAAGAUUACAGACAAGCUUUAUCCAAGGAGAUCCGGCUCUUGAAGUUGGGAAAGUGGUGCCUCUUCGGAUUUUCGAACAAGCAAUCCUUGUCGGGGAUCUGGCUCUCGAGAGAUUCGGAGAACGAUGCCUCUUCGAUUUUUUGAGAAAGCAAUCCUGCUGGGGGUCUGGCUCUCGAGAUUCGGAGAGCGGUGUGUCUCUUCGAUUUUUGAGAAAAGUAAUCAUGUUGGGAGUCUGGCUCUCGAGAUUCGGAGGGCGGUGCCUCUUCGAUUUUGGAGCAAGCAAUCUUGUUGGGAGUGUUUUCUCGAAUGUGAGUAAAGGUUGGGCAUGUUUGCUAGUCUACCUUGCCACGAAGCACAGAGGUUGACACACAGGGACUUUCCAAUUAUCCAGCAAUGGUACUGUUCCUUUACCCUCUCUUCGAUUUUUGAGAAAGUAAAUCAUGUUGGGAGUCUGGCUCUCGAGAUUCGGAGGACGGUGCCUCUUCGAUUUUGGAGCAAGCAAUCUUGUUGGGAGUGUUUUCUCGAAUGUGAGUAAAGGUUGGGCAUGUUUGCUAGUCUACCUUGCCACGAAGCACAGAGGUUGACACACAGGGACUUUCCAAUUAUCCAGCAGUGGUACUGUUCCUUUACCCUUGUGGGUAAUAAUAUGGUAGCUAGACCUUCAAAAUUUAUGUGUCUAAACUUUGUUAGUGUUGUUUCUUUGCUAUUCUUUUACCCUUCUUGGUCAGAGCGAUGUAGUGGGAGCUGCAAGCUUCACGUGUCUCAACUUUGGUCAGAGAACUUUGGCAAAGUUAUCUGUGGUACCCAUGAGCUACUGUUGCGUGUGGGAAGUGGGUGAUUGAACAGUAACGAUUCAUGUGCUUUCUACUUCACCAGAAAUCUUCGACAGAAUGCCCAUAAUUUCCGCAAAGCUGAGUGUGCGUGUGACAGGUGCUGACAAGGCUGGAAAAGUAGGUGCCUCUUCGAUUUCUGAGAUCGGCCCUCGUGGUCUCUGAGCAGCCCAGCUUUUGAGAAAGCAAGCGCCUCUUCGAUUUCUGAGAUCGGCCUUCGUGGUCUUUGAGCAGCCCAAGCUUUUGAGAAAGCAAACGCCUCUUCGAUUUCUGAGAUCGACCCUCGUGGUCUCUGAGCAGCCCAGCUUUUGAGAAAGCAAACGCCUCUUCGAUUUCUGAGCAGGCGCCUCUUCGAUUUCUGAAGCUUCGUCGAGUGCAGAUUUUUUAUAGGGGCUGGACAUUAAGUUCCAAAGCACACUUGAAUCUCCACCAGUAGAAGCUCCAUUCUUGCACUUCUAAGAUCUUGAUUUGUCCGACCUCUUCUCUCUUCAACACCUUUGAAAAUGUCUGGCCCCUCCGACCGUCGUUUUGACUUGAACCUUGUUGAAGAGGCAGCCCCGCCUUCUCCAGACAACAUAUGGCGCCCAUCCUUCGUCUCCCCUACUGGUCCUCUUACCGUUGGGGAUUCCGUGAUGAAGAAUGAUAUGACCGCUGCGGUGGUGGCCAGGAACCUUCUCACUCCCAAAGAUAACAGACUACUUUCCAAACGGUCUGAUGAGUUGGCUGUUAAGGAUUCUCUGGCUCUCAGUGUUCAGUGUGCAGGUUCUGUGUCUAAUAUGGCCCAACGCCUAUUUGCUCGAACCCGCCAAGUUGAAUCAUUGGCGGCUGAAGUGAUGAGUCUCAAACAGGAGAUUAGAGGGCUCAAGCAUGAGAAUAAACAGUUGCACCGGCUCGCACAUGACUAUGCUACAAACAUGAAGAGGAAGCUUGACCAGAUGAAGGAAUCUGAUGGUCAGGUUUUACUUGAUCAUCAGAGAUUUGUGGGUUUGUUCCAAAGGCAUUUAUUGCCUUCGUCUUCUGGGGCUGUACCGCGUAAUGAAGCUCCAAAUGAUGAUCAACCUCUGAUGCCUCCUCCUUCUAGGGUUCUGUCCAGUACUGAGGCUCCGAAUGAUCCCCCUCCGGUGCCUUCUCUUUCUGGGGCUCUACCGACUGCUGAGACUUCUCCUAAGCAACCUUUGUG
Molecule: long non-coding RNA, 39819 nt
Filed under: Malus domestica (apple)
Lineage: Eukaryota; Viridiplantae; Streptophyta; Magnoliopsida; Rosales; Rosaceae
Description: long non-coding RNA (MDOM_LNC010069)
Source: RNAcentral